RNAcentral lists this transfer RNA (69 nucleotides) under Anoplolepis gracilipes. RNAcentral's name for it is "tRNA-Thr". The record is from RNAcentral. Lineage: Eukaryota; Metazoa; Arthropoda; Insecta; Hymenoptera; Formicidae.
UAUACUAUAGUUUAUAUUAAAACAUUAAUUUUGUAAAUUAAAAAUAUUUAUUAUAAUAAAUUAGUAUAA